Molecule: ribosomal RNA, 449 nt
Filed under: uncultured bacterium
Lineage: Bacteria
Description: partial 16S ribosomal RNA
Rfam family: Bacterial small subunit ribosomal RNA
Source: RNAcentral
AACGAACGCUGGCGGCAUGCCUAACACAUGCAAGUCGAACGAAGGCUUCGGCCUUAGUGGCGCACGGGUGCGUAACGCGUGGGAAUCUGCCCCUCGGUUCGGAAUAACAGUUAGAAAUGGCUGCUAAUACCGGAUGAUGACUUCGGUCCAAAGAUUUAUCGCCGAGGGAUGAGCCCGCGUAAGAUUAGGUAGUUGGUGGGGUAAAGGCCUACCAAGCCGACGAUCUUGAGCUGGUCUGAGAGGAUGAUCAGCCACACUGGGACUGAGACACGGCCCAGACUCCUACGGGAGGCAGCAGUGGGGAAUAUUGGACAAUGGGCGAAAGCCUGAUCCAGCAAUGCCGCGUGAGUGAUGAAGGCCUUAGGGUUGUAAAGCUCUUUUACCAGGGAUGAUAAUGACAGUACCUGGAGAAUAAGCUCCGGCUAACUACGUGCCAGCAGCCGCGGUAA